Molecule: long non-coding RNA, 379 nt
Filed under: Homo sapiens (human)
Lineage: Eukaryota; Metazoa; Chordata; Mammalia; Primates; Hominidae
Description: non-protein coding lnc-LIN7C-1:2
Source: RNAcentral
GAGUAUUACCUCCGCCAUGCAAUUUCCACUAUCAAUAAUUUAACUUCUUUGCUGCAGAACAGAAGGAGUACAUACCGGGCACCAAAGACUCGCGCCCCCUCCCCCCUUUAAUUAAGCGAAGGGAACGUGAAAAAAUAAUAGAGUGUGGGAGUUUUGGGGCCGAAGUCUUUCCCGGAGCAGCUGCCUUGAUGGUUACUUUGACAAGUAGUGACUGAAAAUUCCACCAGGUGAGAAGAGUGAUGACCAUCCUUUUCCUUACUAUGGUUAUUUCAUACUUUGGUUGCAUGAAGGCUGCCCCCAUGAAAGAAGCAAACAUCCGAGGACAAGGUGGCUUGGCCUACCCAGGUGUGCGGACCCAUGGGACUCUGGAGAGCGUGAA